RNAcentral lists this ribosomal RNA (253 nucleotides) under uncultured bacterium. RNAcentral's name for it is "partial 16S ribosomal RNA". It matches the Rfam family "Bacterial small subunit ribosomal RNA", at positions 524 to 776 of the family's 1533-position model. The record is from RNAcentral.
GACGGAUGGUGCAAGCGUUGUUCGGAUUGACUGGGCGUAAAGGGCGUGUAGGCGGUUGGUCAAGUCUGAUGUGAAAGCCCGGGGCUCAGCCCCGGAAGGGCAUCGGAAACUAGCCAGCUGGAGCGCGAUAGAGGAGGGUGGAAUUCCUGGUGUAGCGGUGAAAUGCGUAGAUAUCAGGAGGAACACCUGUGGUGUAGACAGCUUACUGGACCACUUCUGACGCUGAGACACGAAAGCGUGGGUAGCAAACAGG